UGAACGCUGGCGGCGUGCUUAACACAUGCAAGUCGAACGAACCUUCGGGUUAGUGGCGGACGGGUGAGUAACGCGUGGGAAUCUGCCCUCAGGAGGGGGAUAACGGCCGGAAACGGCCGCUAAUACCCCAUAUGCCGAGAGGUGAAAUGAAUUUCGCCUGAGGAUGAGCCCGCGUCUGAUUAGCUAGUUGGUGAGGUAAGAGCUCACCAAGGCAUCGAUCAGUAGCUGGUCUGAGAGGAUGAUCAGCCACACUGGGACUGAGACACGGCCCAGACUCCUACGGGAGGCAGCAGUGGGGAAUUUUCCGCAAUGGGCGAAAGCCUGACGGAGCAACGCCGCGUGAGGGAUGAAGGCCUCUGGGCUGUAAACCUCUUUUAUCAAGGAAGAAGAUCUGACGGUACUUGAUGAAUAAGCCACGGCUAAU
Molecule: ribosomal RNA, 424 nt
Filed under: uncultured Synechococcus sp.
Lineage: Bacteria; Bacillati; Cyanobacteriota; Cyanophyceae; Synechococcales; Synechococcaceae
Description: bacterial SSU rRNA
Rfam family: Bacterial small subunit ribosomal RNA
Source: RNAcentral